AGAGUUUGAUCAUGGCUCAGGAUGAACGCUGGCGGCGUGCCUAAUACAUGCAAGUAGAACGCUGAAGGAAGGAGCUUGCUCUUUCCGGAUGAGUUGCGAACGGGUGAGUAACGCGUAGGUAACCUGCCUGGUAGCGGGGGAUAACUAUUGGAAACGAUAGCUAAUACCGCAUAACAGUAGAUAUUGCAUGAUAUCUGCUUGAAAGGUGCAAUUGCAUCACUACCAGAUGGACCUGCGUUGUAUUAGCUAGUUGGUGAGGUAACGGCUCACCAGGGCGACGAUACAUAGCCGACCUGAGAGGGUGAUCGGCCACACUGGGACUGAGACACGGCCCAGACUCCUACGGGAGGCAGCAGUAGGGAAUCUUCGGCAAUGGACGGAAGUCUGACCGAGCAACGCCGCGUGAGUGAAGAAGGUUUUCGGAUCAUAAAGCUCUGUUGUAAGAGAAGAACGAGUGUGAGAGUGGAAAGUUCACACUGUGACGGUAUCUUACCAGAAAGGGACGGCUAACUACGUGCCAGCAGCCGCGGUAAU
This 534-nucleotide ribosomal RNA is filed under the name uncultured bacterium. RNAcentral's name for it is "bacterial SSU rRNA". It matches the Rfam family "Bacterial small subunit ribosomal RNA", at positions 8 to 524 of the family's 1533-position model. The record is from RNAcentral.